This 352-nucleotide long non-coding RNA is filed under the name Mytilus galloprovincialis (Mediterranean mussel). The record is from RNAcentral. Lineage: Eukaryota; Metazoa; Mollusca; Bivalvia; Mytilida; Mytilidae.
CCUAGAUACAACAGCCGUUUAUGCUGGUUGUUCAAAACUCCUCCCUCUGAAAAAUCACAUUGCUAGUCGGUUGCUAGUAUACAAACAAAAAAAGGGAGGUUCACGGAAGAGCCUACACAAACGUUCUACACCUAUUCACAUCGGACAUAGAAAUUACCUUAAUUGUCCUAAUCAGAAUCGAAAUAAUUGAUGCAAGCUAUAAUACCUUAUUGUAGUUUUAACAUGGGUAGGCAUUAUAUUCGUGUUAUUUUAGCUUUCACUAUCAAACGGGCAAACAUAAUCAAAAAUAUAAUGCCUAUCCAUGUUAAAACUACAAUAAAGUAUAGCUUGCAUCAAUUAUUUCUUAAAUAAA